This 450-nucleotide ribosomal RNA is filed under the name uncultured Diversispora. RNAcentral describes it as "SSU rRNA". It matches the Rfam family "Eukaryotic small subunit ribosomal RNA", at positions 569 to 1022 of the family's 1831-position model. Lineage: Eukaryota; Fungi; Glomeromycota; Glomeromycetes; Diversisporales; Diversisporaceae. The record is from RNAcentral.
AGCAGCCGCGGUAAUUCCAGCUCCAAUAGCGUAUAUUAAAGUUGUUGCAGUUAAAAAGCUCGUAGUUGAACUUCGGGGUUUACCCAUUGGUCAGGCUUAAUUGUCUGUACUGGUGAGAUAAAUCUCUACCUUCUGAGGAACUUUCAUGCCAUUUAUUUGGUGUGAUGGGGAACCAGGACUGUUACUUUGAAAAAUUAGAGUGUUUAAAGCAGGCUAACGUCUGAAUACAUUAGCAUGGAAUAAUGAAAUAGGACGGACUGAUUCUAUUUCGUUGGUUUCUAGGAUCACCGUAAUGAUUAGUAGGGAUAGUUGGGGGCAUUAGUAUUCAAUUAUCAGAGGUGAAAUUCUUGGAUUUAUUGAAGACUAACUACUGCGAAAGCAUUUGCCAAGGAUGUUUUCAUUAAUCAAGAACGAAAGUUAGGGGAUCGAAGACGAUCAGAUACCGUCGUA